This is a non-coding RNA of Schistosoma curassoni, 45 nucleotides long. The record is from Rfam. Lineage: Eukaryota; Metazoa; Platyhelminthes; Trematoda; Strigeidida; Schistosomatidae.
AUCCAGCUGACGAGUCCCGAAUGAGGUGAAACGCGCGUCCUGGAU